This 2914-nucleotide ribosomal RNA is filed under the name Enterococcus faecium. RNAcentral's name for it is "bacterial LSU rRNA". It matches the Rfam family "Bacterial large subunit ribosomal RNA". The record is from RNAcentral. Lineage: Bacteria; Bacillati; Bacillota; Bacilli; Lactobacillales; Enterococcaceae.
UUAAGUGAAUAAGGGCGCACGGUGGAUGCCUUGGCACUAGGAGCCGAUGAAGGACGGGACUAACACCGAUAUGCUUUGGGGAGCUGUACGUAAGCUAUGAUCCAGAGAUUUCCGAAUGGGGGAACCCAGCAUCUUUAAUAGGAUGUUACGAUUGUGUGAAUACAUAGCACAUUCGAGGUAGACGCAGAGAACUGAAACAUCUAAGUACCUGCAGGAAGAGAAAGAAAAUUCGAUUCCCUGAGUAGCGGCGAGCGAAACGGGAAAAGCCCAAACCAGCAAGCUUGCUUGUUGGGGUUGUAGGACUCCAAUAUGGUAGUUCUUUCAGAUAGUCGAAUGACUUGGAAAAGUCAGUCAAAGAGGGUAAAAACCCCGUAGACGAAAUGUGGAAGACACCUAGGAGGAUCCUGAGUACGGCGGAACACGAGAAAUUCCGUCGGAAUCCGGGAGGACCAUCUCCCAAGGCUAAAUACUCCCUAGUGACCGAUAGUGAACCAGUACCGUGAGGGAAAGGUGAAAAGCACCCCGGAAGGGGAGUGAAAUAGAACCUGAAACCGUGUGCCUACAACAAGUCAAAGCCCGUUAAUGGGUGAUGGCGUGCCUUUUGUAGAAUGAACCGGCGAGUUACGAUUGCAUGCGAGGUUAAGUUGAAGAGACGGAGCCGCAGCGAAAGCGAGUCUGAAUAGGGCGUUUGAGUAUGUAGUCGUAGACCCGAAACCAUGUGAUCUACCCAUGUCCAGGUUGAAGGUGCGGUAAAACGCACUGGAGGACCGAACCCACGUACGUUGAAAAGUGCGGGGAUGAGGUGUGGGUAGCGGAGAAAUUCCAAACGAACUUGGAGAUAGCUGGUUCUCUCCGAAAUAGCUUUAGGGCUAGCCUCGGAAUUGAGAAUGAUGGAGGUAGAGCACUGUUUGGACUAGGGGCCCAUCUCGGGUUACCGAAUUCAGAUAAACUCCGAAUGCCAUUCAUUCAUAUCCGGGAGUCAGACUGUGAGUGAUAAGAUCCAUAGUCGAAAGGGAAACAGCCCAGACCACCAGCUAAGGUCCCAAAAUAUAUGUUAAGUGGAAAAGGAUGUGGGGUUGCACAGACAACUAGGAUGUUGGCUUAGAAGCAGCCAUCAUUUAAAGAGUGCGUAAUAGCUCACUAGUCGAGUGACCCUGCGCCGAAAAUGUACCGGGGCUAAACAUAUUACCGAAGCUGUGGAGUACACCUUUAGGUGUAUUGGUAGGAGAGCGUUCUAAGGGCGUUGAAGGCAGAUCGUGAGGACUGCUGGAGCGCUUAGAAGUGAGAAUGCCGGUAUGAGUAGCGAAAGACAGGUGAGAAUCCUGUCCACCGAAUGACUAAGGUUUCCUGGGGAAGGCUCGUCCGCCCAGGGUUAGUCGGGACCUAAGCCGAGGCCGACAGGCGUAGGCGAUGGAUAACAGGUUGAUAUUCCUGUACCCGUUGUUUUUGUUUGAGCAAUGGAGGGACGCAGGAGGCUAAGGAAUGCAGACGAUCGGAAAUGUCUGUCCAAGCAGUAAGUCUGAAGAGGAGUCAAAUGCUUCUUUUCUUAAGGACAAGCUGUGAUGGGGAGGGAAAUAAUAGUACCGAAGUUCCUGAUGUCACACUGCCGAGAAAAGCUUCUAGUGAGAAAACAGCGGCCCGUACCGCAAACCGACACAGGUAGUCGAGGAGAGAAUCCUAAGGUGAGCGAGAGAACUCUCGUUAAGGAACUCGGCAAAAUGACCCCGUAACUUCGGGAGAAGGGGUGCUGAUCAUACGAUCAGCCGCAGUGAAUAGGCCCAAGCGACUGUUUAUCAAAAACACAGGUCUCUGCAAAAUCGUAAGAUGAAGUAUAGGGGCUGACGCCUGCCCGGUGCUGGAAGGUUAAGAGGAGUGCUUAGCGCAAGCGAAGGUACGAAUUGAAGCCCCAGUAAACGGCGGCCGUAACUAUAACGGUCCUAAGGUAGCGAAAUUCCUUGUCGGGUAAGUUCCGACCCGCACGAAAGGCGUAACGAUUUGGGCACUGUCUCAACGAGAGACUCGGUGAAAUUUUAGUACCUGUGAAGAUGCAGGUUACCCGCGACAGGACGGAAAGACCCCAUGGAGCUUUACUGUAGUUUGAUAUUGAGUGUCUGUACCGCAUGUACAGGAUAGGUAGGAGUCGUAGAAAUCGGAACGCUAGUUUCGAUGGAGGCGCUGGUGGGAUACUACCCCUGCGUUAUGGCCACUCUAACCCGCACCACUAAUCGUGGUGGGAGACAGUGUCAGAUGGGCAGUUUGACUGGGGCGGUCGCCUCCUAAAAGGUAACGGAGGCGGCCCAAAGGUUCCCUCAGAAUGGUUGGAAAUCAUUCGAAGAGUGUAAAGGCAGAAGGGAGCUUGACUGCGAGACCAACAAGUCGAGCAGGGACGAAAGUCGGGCUUAGUGAUCCGGUGGUUCCGCAUGGAAGGGCCAUCGCUCAACGGAUAAAAGCUACCCUGGGGAUAACAGGCUUAUCUCCCCCAAGAGUCCACAUCGACGGGGAGGUUUGGCACCUCGAUGUCGGCUCGUCGCAUCCUGGGGCUGUAGUCGGUCCCAAGGGUUGGGCUGUUCGCCCAUUAAAGCGGCACGCGAGCUGGGUUCAGAACGUCGUGAGACAGUUCGGUCCCUAUCCGUCGCGGGCGUUGGAAAUUUGAGAGGAGCUGUCCUUAGUACGAGAGGACCGGGAUGGACUUACCGCUGGUGUACCAGUUGUUCUGCCAAGGGCAUUGCUGGGUAGCUAUGUAGGGAAGGGAUAAACGCUGAAAGCAUCUAAGUGUGAAGCCCACCUCAAGAUGAGAUUUCCCAUUUCUUUAAGAAAGUAAGAUCCCUGAGAGAUGAUCAGGUAGAUAGGUCAGGAGUGGAAGUACAGUGAUGUAUGGAGCGGACUGAUACUAAUCGAUCGAGGACUUAACCAA